This is a long non-coding RNA of Nilaparvata lugens (brown planthopper), 1179 nucleotides long. RefSeq lists it as uncharacterized. The record is from RefSeq and is a predicted model, not a curated record. Lineage: Eukaryota; Metazoa; Arthropoda; Insecta; Hemiptera; Delphacidae. The transcript is spliced from 3 exons.
AACACAAAAAUAUCACAAAUAUAACAUCUUAGACAUCUUCCUCAUUACAACAUUCAUAACAUAGUAUUUUCAAAUUUGCCGCUCGCAAGGUCGCCAACCUAAUUCCACACAAUACACUUGAUUCUCUUACAAUAAAUUUCUUUCAAACAAUAACUUCAAUGUCAAAUUCUCAGGGGCUCAUACUUCAUUAUAAUUCCUAGGUCUUAAUAUCAAUAAUUUUCUAUAUAUCAGGUACAAUUCUUUUCUUUUGCUACAUGGUUUUGGCUUCUGGUGGUAACUAGUCAAUUGAGGUUUUUUCAGUAACAACAUGGCAUGAAAUAAUGGUAAUAAAUUAUAAAACAUAAAAAUAAAUAUAUUAACACUGAUAAAUACAAUAAAUAACAAUAAUGAGUAACUUUUGGGUAUAAUACUUUCUUCAUAAUCAUAUGUUUGACAAGCGCUAUAUAUUUGAUUCAGGUGGCUUUGGCCAGCUGACUGAAUUUUGGAUUCAUACAUCAUAAUUUGCUAGCUUCCCAUCUUACAGCACAAAACUAACCUAUUUGUCACAUUUUCCACAUUUGAGGUAAUUUAAUUAAUUCAUUCUCUACUAUCCCCGUUUAUGUUCUUUUUUUUAUAAUGUAGAUUAUUAAAUUACAUACUUAAAAAAUUGUUCUUUGUCUGUUUCAGGCUUCUAACAGUUGGAAGGAAAAAAAACGCUGGAUUGUUGCUAUGCGGUCUAGGCCAUGAUAGGAAAGCUGCACUGAAUUCGACCAAUGUCCUGAGUUCGUGAUUAUGGAUCUGGAAAAACAUCAGAGGUUCACCGCUUAACAAGCUGGAUAAUCAAAGAUGCCAUAAAUUCCAAGAGGAUUCUUGGCGGUGAUUGAAGAUAUCUGGGCAGUGGACUCCAUCGCGCCCCCCUCAGCGUCGAUCAUCGCUACUACCACCGUCUGCAGUGUGUCUGCUACCUCAUUUUGCACGGACAAAAAGAGACUCAUUUUUAAAAAUGGAUAAAGUGUCAAGUGUUUUUAAAAAAGUGAAAGUUUUGGCUAAUGAAACAUUGUGUGUGACACAAGAGAGGAUAGGCCUAUGAAUAUUAAUUACAAGCCAGGUAACCUAUUUAUUACUUAAUCUCUUAUAAUAUAAUAAUACUAUUCAUUGAUUCCUGACUAGCUUACAGACUGUGACUUAUACUUAAAAUAU